Molecule: ribosomal RNA, 235 nt
Filed under: uncultured bacterium
Lineage: Bacteria
Description: partial 16S ribosomal RNA
Rfam family: Bacterial small subunit ribosomal RNA
Source: RNAcentral
CGAACGGGUGAGUAACACGUGAGCAACCUGCCCCGAAGACCGGGAUAACAGUGGGAAACCGCUGCUAAUACCGGAUGUCCCCACCGAGCCUCCUGGCUUGACGAGGAAAUGGAUUCCGCUUCGGGAGGGGCUCGCGGCCUAUCAGCUAGUUGGUGGGGUAACGGCCUACCAAGGCGUCGACGGGUAGCUGGUCUGAGAGGACGAUCAGCCACACUGGGACUGAGACACGGCCCAG